CUGACUUGCAUGUCUGAAUUUUGUUUUCAUGAUUACGGGAUCAGCUUCACUACAGAGAAAAGGGCCACUGGAAGCAUCAGUCCUGGAGAUCUCAGAGAUGCCUAGAAACAAAGCAUGUGGAUGAAAGAGAUCUGGAGUUCUCAAAGCAUAGUACCAUGUGACCACCACUAA
RNAcentral lists this long non-coding RNA (171 nucleotides) under Chinchilla lanigera (long-tailed chinchilla). Its description in RNAcentral is "lncRNA (ENSCLAG00000022348.1)". Lineage: Eukaryota; Metazoa; Chordata; Mammalia; Rodentia; Chinchillidae. The record is from RNAcentral.